GACGAACGCUGGCGGCGUGCUUAACACAUGCAAGUCGAACGGAAAGGCCCUGCUUUUGUGGGGUGCUCGAGUGGCGAACGGGUGAGUAACACGUGAGUAACCUGCCCUUGACUUUGGGAUAACUUCAGGAAACUGGGGCUAAUACCGGAUAGGAGCUCCUGCUGCAUGGUGGGGGUUGGAAAGUUUCGGCGGUUGGGGAUGGACUCGCGGCUUAUCAGCUUGUUGGUGGGGUAGUGGCUUACCAAGGCUUUGACGGGUAGCCGGCCUGAGAGGGUGACCGGCCACAUGGGGACUGAGAUACGGCGCAGACUCCUACGGGAGGCAGCAGUGGGGAAUAUGGCACAAUGGGCGGAAGCCUGAUGCAGCAACGCCGCGUGCGGGAUGACGGCCUUCGGGUUGUAAACCGCUUUCGCCUGUGACGAAGCGUGAGUGACGGUAAUGGGUAAAGAAGCACCGGCUAACUACGUG
RNAcentral lists this ribosomal RNA (468 nucleotides) under uncultured bacterium. Its description in RNAcentral is "partial 16S ribosomal RNA". It matches the Rfam family "Bacterial small subunit ribosomal RNA", at positions 28 to 507 of the family's 1533-position model. The record is from RNAcentral.